GAUGAAGAACGUAGCGAAAUGCGAUAAGUAAUGUGAAUUGCAGAAUUCAGUGAAUCAUCGAAUCUUUGAACGCACAUUGCGCCCGCCAGUAUUCUGGCGGGCAUGCCUGUUCGAGCGUCAUUUCAACCCUCAAGACCCCUUCGGGGGACUUGGUGUUGGGGACCGGCACAGGGGCCUGCCUGCUUGUCUUGCAGCGCCCUCGCCGCCCCCGAAAUGAAUUGGCGGCCUCGUCGCGGCCUCCCCUGCGUAGUAGCACAACCUCGCAACGGGAACGUGACGGCGGCCACUGCCGAAAAACAACCCCAAUUUUAUUAGAGUUGACCUCGAAUCAGGUAGGAAUACCCGCUGAACUUAAGCAUAUCAAUAAGCGGAGGA
Molecule: unclassified non-coding RNA, 375 nt
Filed under: soil metagenome
Description: partial contains 5.8S ribosomal RNA, internal transcribed spacer 2, and large subunit ribosomal RNA
Rfam family: 5.8S ribosomal RNA (bases 1-120)
Source: RNAcentral